CUACGGGAGGCUGCAGUGGGGAAUAUUGGACAAUGGGGGAAACCCUGAUCCAGCAAUGCCGCGUGUGUGAAGAAGGCCUGCGGGUUGUAAAGCACUUUCGGUUGGGAGGACUGCUUCUAGCACUAAUAUUGUUGGAAGUUGACGUUACCUUCAGAAGAAGCACCGGCUAACUCCGUGCCAGCAGCCGCGGUAAUACGGAGGGUGCAAACGUUAAUCGGAAUUACUGGGCGUAAAGCGCGCGUAGGCGGCUAGAUCAGUCGGGUGUGAAAGCCCCGGGCUUAACCUGGGAACUGCAUCCGAUACUGUCUAGCUUGAGUACAGGAGAGGAGAGUGGAAUUCCACAUGUAGCGGUGAUAUGCGUAGAUAUGUGGAGGAACACCAAUGGCGAAGGCAGCUCUCUGGCCUGAUACUGACGCUGAGGUGCGAAAGCGUGGGGAGCAAACAGGAUUAGAUACCCCAGUAGUC
This 465-nucleotide ribosomal RNA is filed under the name uncultured bacterium. RNAcentral describes it as "partial 16S ribosomal RNA". It matches the Rfam family "Bacterial small subunit ribosomal RNA", at positions 339 to 795 of the family's 1533-position model. The record is from RNAcentral.